This 253-nucleotide ribosomal RNA is filed under the name uncultured bacterium. RNAcentral describes it as "partial 16S ribosomal RNA". It matches the Rfam family "Bacterial small subunit ribosomal RNA", at positions 524 to 776 of the family's 1533-position model. The record is from RNAcentral.
UACGUAGGGGGCUAGCGUUGUCCGGAAUCAUUGGGCGUAAAGCGCGUGUAGGCGGUCCGGUAAGUCCGCUGUGAAAGUCGAGGGCUCAACCCUCGAAUGCUGGUGGAUACUGUCGGGCUUGAGUACGGGAGAGGCGAGUGGAAUUCCUGGUGUAGCGGUGAAAUGCGCAGAUAUCAGGAAGAACACCCGUGGCGAAGGCGGCUCUCUGGGACGGUACUGACGCUGAGACGCGAAAGCGUGGGGAGCGAACAGG